UGGGGAAUAUUGCACAAUGGGCGAAAGCCUGAUGCAGCGACGCCGCGUGAGGGAUGACGGCCUUCGGGUUGUAAACCUCUUUCAGCAGGGACGAAGCGCAAGUGACGGUACCUGCAGAAGAAGCACCGGCUAACUACGUGCCAGCAGCCGCGGUAAUACGUAGGGUGCAAGCGUUGUCCGGAAUUACUGGGCGUAAAGAGUUCGUAGGCGGUUUGUCGCGUCGUUUGUGAAAGCCACAAGCUCAACUGCUGGCUUGCAGGCGAUACGGGCAGACUUGAGUACUGCAGGGGAGACUGGAAUUCCUGGUGUAGCGGUGAAAUGCGCAGAUAUCAGGAGGAACACCGGUGGCGAAGGCGGGUCUCUGGGCAGUAACUGACGCUGAGGAACGAAAGCGUGGGUAGCGAACAGG
Molecule: ribosomal RNA, 409 nt
Filed under: bacterium
Lineage: Bacteria
Description: partial 16S ribosomal RNA
Rfam family: Bacterial small subunit ribosomal RNA
Source: RNAcentral